RNAcentral lists this ribosomal RNA (492 nucleotides) under uncultured bacterium. RNAcentral's name for it is "partial 16S ribosomal RNA". It matches the Rfam family "Bacterial small subunit ribosomal RNA", at positions 29 to 507 of the family's 1533-position model. The record is from RNAcentral.
AGUGAACGCUGGCGGUAGGCCUAACACAUGCAAGUCGAACGGCAGCACCGUAAGAGCUUGCUCUUCCGGGUGGCGAGUGGCGGACGGGUGAGGAAAACAACGGAAUCUACUUUUUCGUGGGGGUUAACGUAGGGAAACUUACGCUCAUACCGCAUCCGCCCUACGGGUGAAAGGAUGGGAUCUUCUGACCUUGCGCGAAUGAAUGAGCCGCUGUCGGGUUUGCUAGUUGGCGGGGUAAAGGCCCACCCAGGCGACGAUCCGUAGCUGGUCUGAGAGGAUGAUCAGCCACACUGGAACUGAGACACGGUCCAGAGUCCUGCGGGAGGCAGCAGUGGGGAAUAUGGGACAGUGGGGGGAAGCCUGAUCCAGCCAUACCGCGUGGGUGGAGAAGGCCUUCGGGUUGUAAAGCCCGUUUGUUGGGAGAGAAAAGCAUCAGGUUAAUACCCCGCUGUUCUGACGGUACCCAAAGAAUAAGCACCGGCUAACUUCGUG